CAACAGGGAUUGCCUCAGUAACGGCGAGUGAAGCGGCAACAGCUCAAAUUUGAAAUCUGGCUCUCGGGCCCGAGUUGUAAUUUGUAGAGGAUGCUUUUGGUGCGGUGCCUUCCGAGUUCCCUGGAACGGGACGCCAUAGAGGGUGAGAGCCCCGUCUGGUUGGACGCCAAUCCUCUGUAAAGCUCCUUCGACGAGUCGAGUAGUUUGGGAAUGCUGCUCUAAAUGGGAGGUAUAUGUCUUCUAAAGCUAAAUACCGGCCAGAGACCGAUAGCGCACAAGUAGAGUGAUCGAAAGAUGAAAAGAACUUUGAAAAGAGAGUUAAAAAGUACGUGAAAUUGUUGAAAGGGAAGCGCUUGUGACCAGACUUGGGCUUGGUUGAUCAUCCAGGGUUCUCCCUGGUGCACUCUUCCGGCCCAGGCCAGCAUCAGUUCGCCCCGGGGGAAAAAGGCUUCGGGAAUGUGGCUCCCUCGGGAGUGUUAUAGCCCGCUGCGCAAUACCCUGCGGCGGACUGAGGUUCGCGCUCCGCAAGGAU
Molecule: ribosomal RNA, 532 nt
Filed under: Fusarium ornamentatum
Lineage: Eukaryota; Fungi; Ascomycota; Sordariomycetes; Hypocreales; Nectriaceae
Description: LSU rRNA
Rfam family: Eukaryotic large subunit ribosomal RNA
Source: RNAcentral